RNAcentral lists this ribosomal RNA (320 nucleotides) under uncultured eukaryote. RNAcentral describes it as "partial 18S ribosomal RNA". It matches the Rfam family "Eukaryotic small subunit ribosomal RNA", at positions 1470 to 1796 of the family's 1831-position model. The record is from RNAcentral.
CCCCUAGAUGUUCUGGGUCGCACGCGCGCUACACUGAACAGUUCAACAAGUCUUAACCUUGGCCGAUAGGUCUGGGUAAUCUUUGAACGCUGUUCGUGAUUGGGAUAGACCUUUGCAAUUAUGGGUCUUCAACGAGGAAUUCCUAGUAAACGCAAGUCAUCAGCUUGCAUUGAUUACGUCCCUGCCCUUUGUACACACCGCCCGUCGCACCUACCGAUUGAAUGGUCCGGUGAAAUCUCGGGACGGCGGCUUGGUCGCUUGCGUCCGACUGCUGAAACUUGAUUAAACCAUAUCAUUUAGAGGAAGGUGAANUCGUAACA